CGGGACAAUACUCGAAGAAAAUGAAGGAACGGCCAUGGCCCUUUUGACUUUCGUAUUCUGUCAUGGAACAUUGAAGGAUUAAGGAAACACGAUAAUGAACAUUCACAGGAUUUUAACUGCGAUGGACAGGGGACUGAGUCCUAAAUGGUAUGGGACAUGGGUUCCAAGCCAGGAGUCCUGCUACGAGGAGUCUUUGAAUGUUGGCGUGUCUGCACUAUAUAUACAGGACUACUAUAGCGCCUUUGCAUCUUGUGCCGUCGGCCUCGGUCUUGCUCUCAUUGUGUUACUGGGAGAGACUCUUAUAUCACAUAUUAUGCGAAAAGUUCGAACGACUUAGCUCAGGUUUCAUCAUAUACUAUUGUUGGACACAUCAUAACGUGUCCGUGCUUGUACAUGUGCACAUGGGUAAAUCUAUAUUGAUAACGAGGCUUAUGAGAACAUGCAUUGCUCACUAGCGCACUAAGACUAUUUAUGGUGUCCUUAGGGCGACAGAGAAGCAAAGUAUUUUGAGAAGAGAUUUGAAAAUAUCUUUGAGUUAAGAUUAAGAGAACAUAUGCAUUAAGUGCUAAUCAGUGACACUGAAAAAGUGCGUGGCGAAAAUAUACUGAACAACAAAAAUUCCUGUGUCAUUGAAUAAGAUUUAACGCAAAGUUAUGUUUUUAACCAAAUCUGAAACAAUUUCGGGUUCCUCGACGUCG
RNAcentral lists this unclassified non-coding RNA (698 nucleotides) under Haliotis rufescens (red abalone). RNAcentral's name for it is "uncharacterized LOC124140174, transcript variant X1". Lineage: Eukaryota; Metazoa; Mollusca; Gastropoda; Lepetellida; Haliotidae. The record is from RNAcentral.